This 253-nucleotide ribosomal RNA is filed under the name uncultured bacterium. RNAcentral's name for it is "partial 16S ribosomal RNA". It matches the Rfam family "Bacterial small subunit ribosomal RNA", at positions 524 to 776 of the family's 1533-position model. The record is from RNAcentral.
UACGUAGGGGGCUAGCGUUGUCCGGAAUCAUUGGGCGUAAAGCGCGUGUAGGCGGUCCGGUAAGUCCGCUGUGAAAGUCGAGGGCUCAACCCUCGAAUGCCGGUGGAUACUGUCGGGCUAGAGUACGGAAGAGGCGAGUGGAAUUCCUGGUGUAGCGGUGAAAUGCGCAGAUAUCAGGAGGAACACCAAUUGCGAAGGCAGCUCGCUGGGACGUUACUGACGCUGAGGCACGAAAGCUAGGGGAGCAAACAGG